Molecule: ribosomal RNA, 1005 nt
Filed under: Triticum aestivum (bread wheat)
Lineage: Eukaryota; Viridiplantae; Streptophyta; Magnoliopsida; Poales; Poaceae
Description: partial small subunit ribosomal RNA
Source: RNAcentral
AUGAUAAGAUGCAACACGCAAGCAAAUGACAUGGUAACAACAGCGAAUAACUGGAGGACACCUGGCACAUCGGUCUCGGGGCGCUACAUAAGCGGAGACGGCAGGUUCAUCCUACACUUUGUGCAGGAGGGUGAUAGGCUCCAUGUGCUUAGGGCUGGGCCGUGGCACUGCCACAAUGACGGAGUCAUCUUCGCGCCUUUCGACGGUACAGGCAAUGCAAGUGAUGUCCGUCUCGACUCCAUCCGAGUGUGGGGGAAGAUUCAGGGGCUCCCGUACGAACUCAAGUCGGAGGAGAUGGGCAGGGAGUUGGGAAAGAAGCUGGGUACCGUCAUCGCCGUCGCCCAUAAGAACAAGCUGAUCGUUGAUAAGCACCUCCGCGUGCGUGUUGACAUGCCGGUACAUCGUCCCAUCAAGUCAUACAUCACUGCCACCCCAACUGGAACUUCCAAUGUUCUGAAGUACUUCGUAAAAUAUGAAAAACUCCUAAAUUUUUGUUUUUGUUGUGGACUGCUGGGUCAUACCACAGAGAAGUUUUGCAGCAUUCCUAAGGAGCAGCGUACAGCGGUCUUCUCCUCCAACAUCAAGGCCCUCCCAAUCUGGAAAGAGAGAAGCCUCAAUAGUUCAGCGCAGUCUUUGGGUCCGGUGCGCUGUUCUUUGGAGUUUGAAGGAAUGUUGGCACCGGGGGAGUUGGAGAAAGAAGAAGAGACUGAGAAGCUCCAAGCCAAGGUCCCGGAUGUGGUCAUCAAUGUGGUGACUACGGCCGUCAAGCAGCUUAUGGUUUCUUCAGUGGGAGAGACCUCUAACAUUGCGGCUGGCCGGGAGACGUCGGGCAUGAACUCUGCUCCUGUUGAACAGUACGUUGCGGGGGCAAUCGUCCCUUCUGCUAGGAAUCCCGCGGGGAGGGGACAGGCUGCGGACAACUCGCCUGGCCCGGAGGGUCGUGGGCGUACUGAAGCUGCUGGCGUGCUUGUGGGGAUGGCUGAUGCUGUCAUUCCCACGGCAUGA